RNAcentral lists this ribosomal RNA (253 nucleotides) under uncultured bacterium. RNAcentral describes it as "partial 16S ribosomal RNA". It matches the Rfam family "Bacterial small subunit ribosomal RNA", at positions 524 to 776 of the family's 1533-position model. The record is from RNAcentral.
GACGUAGGGCGCGAGCGUUGUCCGGAUUUAUUGGGCGUAAAGGGCUCGUAGGCGGCCUGUCGCGUCGUUCGUGAAAACUUGGGGCUCAACCCCAAGCUUGCGGUCGAUACGGGCAGGCUAGAGUUCGGUAGGGGAGACUGGAAUUCCUGGUGUAGCGGUGAAAUGCGCAGAUAUCAGGAGGAACACCGGUGGCGAAGGCGGGUCUCUGGGCCGAUACUGACGCUGAGGAGCGAAAGCGUGGGGAGCGAACAGG